UUUUGAUUAUGGCUCAGAUUGAACGCUGGCGGAAUGCUUUACACAUGCAAGUCGAACGGCAGCAUAGAGAGCUUGCUCUCUGAUGGCGAGUGGCGAACGGGUGAGUAACAUAUCGGAACGUGCCUAGUAAUGGGGAACAACUAAUCGAAAGAUUAGCUAAUACCGCAUACGACCUACGGGUGAAAGCAGGGGAUCUUCGGACCUUGCGUUAUUAGAGCGGCCGAUAUCUGAUUAGGUAGUUGGUAGGGUAAAGGCCUACCAAGCCAACGAUCAGUAGCUGGUCUGAGAGGACGAUCAGCCACACUGGAACUGAGACACGGUCCAGACUCCUACGGGAGGCAGCAGUGGGGAAUUUUGGACAAUGGGGGCAACCCUGAUCCAGCCAUUCCGCGUGAGUGAAGAAGGCCUUCGGGUUGUAAAGCUCUUUCGCAAGAGAAGAAAUCUUAUCGUCUAAUA
Molecule: ribosomal RNA, 456 nt
Filed under: Methylophilales bacterium enrichment culture clone NPHTC-020
Lineage: Bacteria; Pseudomonadati; Pseudomonadota; Betaproteobacteria; Nitrosomonadales
Description: bacterial SSU rRNA
Rfam family: Bacterial small subunit ribosomal RNA
Source: RNAcentral